CACGUAGGGUGCGAGCGUUGUCCGGAAUUAUUGGGCGUAAAGAGCUCGUAGGCGGUGUGUCGCGUCGGCCGUGAAAACCUGCAGCUUAACUGUGGGCUUGCGGUCGAUACGGGCAUCACUGGAGUUCGGCAGGGGAGACUGGAAUUCCUGGUGUAGCGGUGAAAUGCGCAGAGUAUCAGGGAGGAACACCGGUGGCGAAGGCGGGUCUCUGGGCCGUAACUGACGCUGGAGGAGCGAAAGCGUGGGGAGCGAACAGG
This 257-nucleotide ribosomal RNA is filed under the name uncultured bacterium. RNAcentral describes it as "partial 16S ribosomal RNA". It matches the Rfam family "Bacterial small subunit ribosomal RNA", at positions 524 to 776 of the family's 1533-position model. The record is from RNAcentral.